Molecule: long non-coding RNA, 6310 nt
Organism: Ictalurus punctatus (channel catfish)
Lineage: Eukaryota; Metazoa; Chordata; Actinopteri; Siluriformes; Ictaluridae
Exons: 2
Source: RefSeq, a predicted model, not a curated record
CACAUCCACUAGUUUUGCACUCAGAACAAAUGAAGUAAACAGCAAUGCAACAGACGACAUUGUUUUUCCUGUAAGAGAUAUAACUUUAUAUUGGAUGUUCCUAUUCAGUCACUGUUUACUUUUAGCAGUAAUGCAUGAAAUAUCAAGAGGUAGACGCAAAGGAAUAGAUUUGCAGGGUUACAUGUAGAAAAGUGUGCUUUUCUGUUGUUGCUUUGUUUUUAUCCCAUUUCCUCUCAAUUUAGUUUUGCAAGUAUCAUCCAUUAUUCUCUUACUGCAAAUUCCAAUGUAGAAGGGAGGAGUGCUAAUACAUGCUUCCUCUGAAGUAUGUGAGGCCCACCAGGACGCCUUUUCAAAUGUUUUCACGCACAUUAUGCUUAGAGGAGAGCACUAGAUCCUCAAGAUUGGCUGCUCUUACUCGGAUGAGUUAAGCAAGCGUGGAUGUCGAAAGUCCCAAGGCACAUGUUUAAUUUGAAAACAUAUGACAAGGGGAAAUCUUUCCCAGGCCUGUCACGGUCAGACUUGGAGCAACAGUGCAGAGUGUUGCAGCAUUCCUCAGAGCAGAAAGAACCCAGUGCACGACAGCUCUGACUCUGUGGACAUGCGGACAAGCUGGCUUCCAUUCCUGACGCGCUCAAGGAUGACCUAUUGCUUUGACGACCAGAAGGCUUAGCAAACACGCAGGCAAAACAGAACGAAAAUGUAUGUUUUUAAACUGCUAGAAACGAGUGACGCUAGUGCUGACGCAAGCAAUGUGUGUAGUCAUAUUAUGCAAGUACGUGCAUGUAAUGAUAUCUCCCCAUCAUUCAUCUUCUAUCCACCCACAUACUAGGCUUUGUUUUCUCUACUCUAUCUCACCUCCUCCUGAUGCAUGUAUCUGGGCUUUUUAUAUCAGCCCCUAACUUAGUCAAACCUAUUCAUCGAGUUUCUUAGCAACUUGUUCAGUAUAGAAAAGUAUCCGAUGGUACACCGGUGUGUCUCUCUCUCUCUCUCUCCACCUCAGCCAUUUCAUUCAAUCAUUCUGCGUGCUUAGAUACGAGGGGCUCUGCGCUUAAAAUGACAUCGUUUAAUCUGUCGUGCACAUUAACAGAAUCUGUAACUCCCAGUGAAAGGGAGGAACAAAUGGAUAUCCAGGGGAUACAAUGAUGGCUUAUUCUCAUAUUAUUGAAUCUAUAAUAUAUACUACAGCUGUUUCUGUUUAUUCGUUUGAUCUGCAUCUUUUUGUGAGCUACAACUAAUUUAAAUCCUUUGUCAGAAUGGUGUUUUUGGACACUUGUACCAGUAACGCAGAAAUGAUGUAAGGGAUAAGGGGGUAGAAUAUUGGAUUGUUGAACAGAGAAUGAAGAAAUGAAUUUUAAGCGGGAUAAAACUGUAUUUGUUCCAAAAGAGACAACACAUUUAAGAUGGAAAGGUCAUUUGUGUGGGUUCCCCAAGGCCAUCUGUGUGGGCUUCUCUUUGCGUGUGUAAUUACUUUAGCUGGAACAAAGCUGGCAAAGCAGCCGUAGAUGGAUGUCAUCAUCACUCGGUGCUCCUCCGCAUAGUACACGCACGCACGCACACGCAGAUCUCGCAGCACUACCAUAACAUACCACUGUAGUCAUUUGAUGUACAAUGUCCCAGCAAAAUGAAGUCAGUAUCAUGUUCAAGGUUGGAAUGAUUGGGUUAAAAGCAUCUAAAAAUGGCCAAAUGAUGUCUCCAUGAAAGAGCUGACGAGGCUGUGUAAAAAUGUAGAUUACUUGUACUGUAGCCAGAUAAAAAGUUUGAGCGCUUUUGAUAUUCAGAACUACCAGAGUCGUGUGGGAGGGAGUGACAGUUAUUAAUGUGAGAGUAAAUUCAGGCUGUAUGCUGUUUUGUCUUCUUGUUUUUUUUUUUCUUUCUAGGAGAAAACUUCAUCUUUACACAGGGAUUUUGCUAAGAGUGAGUCACUGUGGGAAGACACGUCGUUCUGGGUGUAGUAAUUAAUAGGCAGGGCUGAACAGCACCAUUUGUGGCUAAAGUUAACUGUUACGCAAGACUCGAAUGGGCAAGAGUUUAUCUGGCAUGCUCAGAGUAUAGUCACACUAGCGAAUAGAGAGCAAUGCCAACCGAAUACAUAGGUGAGCACAGCAUGUACACAAUCUGACGUGCACUCAAUAAUUCCUCAAAGUUCAGUUUCUGAAUGAUGGAAAAGAAAAUGUCACAGUGAACACUAUGUUCUGCCCUGUUCGGGUCCUCAUGAGACCUUCAGAGAUGUUUACUCAGAAAACAUUCCUUUGUGGCGACACACAUUCUCUGCUAUCUUUCUGUGUGUGUGUCUGUCUCUCUCUCUCUCUCUCUCUCUCUCUCUCUGACUUUCUGUUGUUCAUGUAUAUAGUGAUCAAUUUUAUAGAAAGCUUUUUUCAGCAUUUGCUUUUUGUUUAACUUCUGUAUCUCUCUUUCUAUCCUACAAGUGCACGUAUUAUCUCGCAGCUGCCCGCUCAGUGAUUUUGUAACUUAUUGGAAUUCAGCAGGCAGGACUAUCACAGUGUGUGUAUGGAUGGGAGGCAGAAAAUGUGAUCACUCGUUAUAUAAUCUUCCCAAAGUGUUAUGCUGUGCAACACUGUCGUAACACUCGCAUUGUAGCAGCUUCAGUUCCACAGCACUUAUUUUUGUAUUCACGCUCACGAGUGUUACAGAGCCAGCACACACCUCUGACUCCAUGCUGAAGACUACACUGUGAUUUAGCACAGUCAUCCAAACGUCAGGGAAAAUAAAUGUCUUUUGCACAUGAACUUUUGCAUGGGUGUCAUUAAACCCCGUAUUUGCAGUUUUGAUGAUGAAGCUACUUGUCAGAAUAAAGGUAGAGGGAGUUCCUCUGGACAGUGUGUUAGUUUUUGACUGGAAUGGGGUAUGAAGUAGUAUUCUGUAAUCCAAGCUGUGAACGAAAUAGUAUUGUAUCAUGUGUUUGCUGCACUGAUAUUUGCAUUCUCUCACAACCCUGCUAUUAAUAUGAGUCAUAAGUUCUUCACUAAGGUGAUUGAAAGCCAGAUGUUCAGGAGCAGGUCUGAGAAUAGACGUGCCUGGACUGCCCUGUUUGCGCGUGUGUGUGGUAGUUGUUGUUGUGGUUGGAUUGGGUGUAUGUUCUUUCACCUCUCUCCAUGCUUGUUUGUACUCAUUGCUUGCUUUGCCUUGCCCUCUUCAGGGUGGUGAUCGUGUGGAAGCCAUUGAGCCAGUGACUUGUGCUCUUGUAAUCAGAGUCUGGUUUGGAUAACCUCGGUUUGGAAUUCGUGUAGCAGAUUUAAACCCGGUUUAUUUGACGGCUUUACUGAAUCCAGGUCUAGGCAGCCUGCAUUUGACAUACCUGUCUGUGUGUUAUACUAAUAAAGGUUCUGCCAUGAACGGCCGCAUGUGUGGGCAUGUUGGCCACGUGUGGGUAUGGGCAUGUUAUGUAGCUGUAGGAAUGUAUGGAUCUGAGGUAUACAGUAUGUGGGCAUGUAUAUACAGUACAUGCAUAAUUCUUGCAGUAGUACGUGGAUUGGAAGAUCUUAAAGAUUAUAUUACAAGCCACCUUGGCUUGAUCUUUUACUACAGGAUAUUACAAAUUAACUGCGUGACUGAACACUUUAGUACUCGUAGUGCUUUUCACACACAUGAGAGAGAGAGAGAGAGAGAGACUGAGACUCUCACUGCCCCUACAAGGAUAGGGCUCACAGUUGUAUUGUUCUACUUCAAGACUCAAGGAAAUGAGAUCUCUCAUUACUGGCACUGUCAAGGCCACAGUCCACCAUUUUUAACAUUAGUCAUACCUAUGUUUUCCCUUGAAUUCCGGCUUACCAUGAAAUAAAGAGAUAAGAAUAAUACUAUGAGAAUAAGGAAAUAAGCACUACUUUGGGUGAUAUUCUUUAAAAAGCCAGUCUGUUACUAUAUGUUAUAUUUAAUAAAUAGAUUUCUAAAAAUGAGACCAAAUAUGAAUAUCUUACUUAGAUUGAACAGAUACAAAUAUAGAUAUGAAUAGUAGGUGCAUUAUUCCUUUGUUUUUUGUUUGAAUAUUGCUUAUUUUAGUUAUUUAUUUAUUUUGAAGAAAACAUGCUAGAAAGGUUUACAGGGCAUCAGGUUGAGCCUGGAGGUGUGCACCAGGAUGUAAAAUUCUUUUAUUUUUAAAUUGCGCAAGUAGGAGGGUGUGAGCAUUGAAUAUGUCUGGUCAUGAUUGCAGUGUUUUAGAUUAUGCUCCUAGUUUGUUUAUAUAUUAGGAAAUAGAUCCAAAUAGGUUUCUAACUAAAUUCACUAGAAAAUAUUAUGGGUGCAUGCAAACAAAAAUAAUAAUAAUAAUAAUAAUAAUAAUAAUAAUGUGUGAGCAGUUUGCUAGUUCUCAGUUGUGAACUAGCGUGAGAAAGAACUCUAGAAGAAGGUUUUUACAGUGUUUUCCAAAUGUUGAUCAAGCUAGAGAUUAUUUAGAAAUAUUUUGCACAAUAAAAGAUAGCAUAAUUGUGUUUCGCCCCUAGGCUGUACUGUAAAGAGCACUAUAUAAGGCAGCAGUGAGGGACUGAAUCCAGACACUUGCUUGUGAGUGCAGUGGAAACACAUCAUCAUGACCCGCACUUACUGUACAUAAACAAAGUGGACGUUACAAAUUACUCAGCAGUUACCAUUACAACUUCCCAAGUUUUAACGUUUUCUGUAUUAAAUACACAACUAACAACUGCCUGUUGACUUUAGAGGAGGUUAAACAACAAUUCUUAUUUAUAUUUAUAGCAUGAGGCUGUUUGUGCAUGUAUCCAUCCUGACCUGUAAAAUGCGAGCUGAAAGAAAUUGCAUUAAUACAAUUGAAGAAAUUGUAUUAAUGAUAAUGAGUCUUUAUUGGUCACAUGUACAUUACAGCACAGUGAAAUUCUUUUCUUCGCAUACCCCAGCAUGUUAGGAAGCUGGGGUCAGAGUGCAGGGUCAGCCAUGAUACAGCGCCCCUGGAGCAGAGAGGAUUAAGGGCCUUGGUCAAGGGCCCAACAGUGGCAGCUUGGCAGCGCUGGGGCUUAAACCCACGACCUUCCGAUCAGUAACCCAGAGCCUUAACCGUCAAGCCAUCACGGCCCCCAGUAUUGUGGUAGCAUUUAGUGUGGUACUAAGUAGUGAGCAUUGGUUGUGUACUGGAUUUAUGGUGCACUGUGGGUAAUAAUGUAGGAAGUACAAUCCUGGGAGUACAAUUUGUCCACAGAACAAAUGCACAGUAAAUAAAGCACUGUAUACCGUACUAUAGGAGGAAACGAAUUGAGACACAUCACACUUCUAGUCUCUGCCCAUGUGAUGUGACAUGAUAGUGGUGAACUUUGAUUUCCUAAGGGCUGGUUGGAGAUUGCGUUGCUGACUCACUUUUCUGUGGUGUUUUGCACAAUUGAAGUGUGCUGCCUGUGUCAUUGGUUUAAACGUUUGACCCAUUUUUUUGUAGAUAAGGCGCACAUACGCACCCUGGUUGAGGGAUAACAACAAGACUGUCUUCACUGAGAGAGAGAGAGAACCAUGAAUAAUGUGUUUGCAUCAAGUGAUUUAUAGGUAAAAUAGAGAGCAGCGUCAGCAGGGAGUCAUAAAGCACAGUGUCUCUCUCUCUCUCUCUCUCUCUCUCUCUCUCUCUCUCUCUCUUUUUCUCUCUCUGUAUCUCUCUCUCUCUCUCUCUCUCUCUCUCUGAAACUAACUCCACUCUGUCACUCUCUGCCAUUGUUUGACAUCUGUGUCCCUUCAGUUGAUUGCUAAAGCAUUCCUAAAGCAGCAUACACUUUUUCCUGUUACUGCCUCUAAAGCUCUUCCCACCAGAGACACCCACACUGGAGAAAAGAAAUGUUUUAAAGUGUGUACAAAGUGUGUACAUGGUGUACAAUAUCAUUGGAAAAACAGUACCACAUAAGCAAGCCAUCACCAUUCAAAUGUUUUCCUAUAUAAAAUAAUAAACCAUUAUACACACAUUGGCCCUCAGUUGUCAAGCUGGAUACGUACGGAUUUAUUCGUAAACAGUUCGUACGAGCGUUUACACGUGAAAAUCCCGGAAAUUCAGAAUAACUUCGGAAUAAACCUCGAUUUGAACGACUUCAAAAUCAUGUAUUUUGCAUGGGUUACUGUCCUUUUAAACUUAGUCAAGUUUUUAUUACGUCUAAGUAGACGCCGUUAUCCAGAGCAGCCUACAGAAGUGCUUUGGAGUCUCUAUGAAAAACACAUCCUCAGACUAGUUCCCUAGGUCUGCGGAGUAGGGAACUAGGGAACCUUCACUAGGUUCACUAGGGAUUAAGAAUACCAUUGAGAAAUGUUUGUGAUAACCAGGCAUUUUAUAUUACUGGCUUUAAUUAAACACUAUGGAGAAAAAAAGAAGAAA